RNAcentral lists this long non-coding RNA (218 nucleotides) under Mytilus galloprovincialis (Mediterranean mussel). The record is from RNAcentral. Lineage: Eukaryota; Metazoa; Mollusca; Bivalvia; Mytilida; Mytilidae.
GUGUGUUCCCUCAUAUUUUUUUUUUAUUUUUAGAUUUUUUUUCUGCAAUCAUGUCGGCAGAUGAAAUUAUUAAACGUACAAUUCUGAACAAUCAUCGUUAACUUUUAAUCAGCUAUUGCAGUUCUUAUAAACUAUAGGCCUUCAAAUAUUCGGCUUUAGGUGGUUCAUGCGGAAAUUAAAUCCACAAAUACACUUCGGAGUCCUGGGUUGAGUUCAAU